Molecule: ribosomal RNA, 254 nt
Filed under: uncultured bacterium
Lineage: Bacteria
Description: partial 16S ribosomal RNA
Rfam family: Bacterial small subunit ribosomal RNA
Source: RNAcentral
UACGGGGGGGGCAAGCGUUGUUCGGAAUUACUGGGCGUAAAGCGCGUGUAGGCGGCUGGUCAAGCGUGGUGUGAAAUCUCCGGGCUCAACCCGGAAACUGCAUUGCGAACUGACCUGGCUGGAGUGCAGGAGAGGGCAGCGGAAUUCCCGGUGUAGCGGUGAAAUGCGUAGAUAUCGGGAAGAACACCAGUGGCGAAGGCGGCUGCCUGGCCUGUAACUGACGCUGAGACGCGAAAGCGUGGAGAGCGAACCGG